RNAcentral lists this ribosomal RNA (406 nucleotides) under uncultured bacterium. Its description in RNAcentral is "partial 16S ribosomal RNA". It matches the Rfam family "Bacterial small subunit ribosomal RNA", at positions 29 to 526 of the family's 1533-position model. The record is from RNAcentral.
AUUGAACGCUGGCGGCAGGCCUAACACAUGCAAGUCGAGCGAGCGGCGGACGGGUGAGUAAUGUCUGGGAAACUGCCCGCUGGAGGGGGAUAACUACUGGAAACGGUAGCUAAUACCGCAUACCAUCAGAUGUGCCCAGAUGGGAUUAGUUAGUGGGUGGGGUAACGGCUCACCUAGGCGACGAGCCCUAGCUGGUCUGAGAGGAUGACCAGCCAAACUGGAACGGGGACACGGUCCGGACUCCUACGGGAGGAAGCAGUGGGGAAUAUUGGACAAUGGGCGCAGGCCUGAUGCAGCCAUGCCGCGUGUGUGAAGAAGGCCUUCGGGUUGUAAAGCACUUUCAGCGGGGAGGCGUUACCCGCAGAAGAAGCACCGGCUAACUCCGUGCCAGCCGCCGCGGUAAUUC